RNAcentral lists this ribosomal RNA (788 nucleotides) under uncultured Streptococcus sp. RNAcentral's name for it is "bacterial SSU rRNA". It matches the Rfam family "Bacterial small subunit ribosomal RNA", at positions 28 to 776 of the family's 1533-position model. The record is from RNAcentral. Lineage: Bacteria; Bacillati; Bacillota; Bacilli; Lactobacillales; Streptococcaceae.
GACGAACGCUGGCGGCGUGCCUAAUACAUGCAAGUCGAGCGAGCUUGCCUAGAUGAAUUUGGUGCUUGCACCAGAUGNNACUAGAUACAAGCGAGCGGCGGACGGGUGAGUAACACGUGGGUAACCUGCCCNNGAGACUGGGAUAACACCUGGAAACAGAUGCUAAUACCGGAUAACAACACUAGACGCAUGUCUAGAGUUUAAAAGAUGGUUCUGCUAUCACUCUUGGAUGGACCUGCGGUGCAUUAGCUAGUUGGUGAGGUAACGGCUCACCAAGGCGACGAUACAUAGCCGACCUGAGAGGGUGAUCGGCCACACUGGGACUGAGACACGGCCCAGACUCCUACGGGAGGCAGCAGUAGGGAAUCUUCGGCAAUGGACGGAAGUCUGACCGAGCAACGCCGCGUGAGUGAAGAAGGUUUUCGGAUCGUAAAGCUCUGUUGUAAGAGAAGAACGAGUGUGAGAGUGGAAAGUUCACACUGUGACGGUAUCUUACCAGAAAGGGACGGCUAACUACGUGCCAGCAGCCGCGGUAAUACGUAGGUCCCGAGCGUUGUCCGGAUUUAUUGGGCGUAAAGCGAGCGCAGGCGGUUAGAUAAGUCUGAAGUUAAAGGCUGUGGCUUAACCAUAGUACGCUUUGGAAACUGUUUAACUUGAGUGCAAGAGGGGAGAGUGGAAUUCCAUGUGUAGCGGUGAAAUGCGUAGAUAUAUGGAGGAACACCGGUGGCGAAAGCGGCUCUCUGGCUUGUAACUGACGCUGAGGCUCGNNNGCGUGGGGAGCAAACGGG